ACAAAACCAAACUCGUUCGUUUACAGUGAAACUAUAAUCCCUUCGUCAAUAUGAUCCGAUCAAUUACGAGAUAUGGAAGUGUGUCAAUCCCAAAUAUCGAUCAUAUCUUUCACUCCACUAUUAAGUCAAUAUAAGUCGAAAACUCAUUUUCGACUUAUGAGUAUCAUUGGCCAAUGAUUUCGUUAUCGAUUUAAUUGAAUGAAACGCAGAUCAUAAUUUCCUACUAUCUAAGAGUGACAAAUCCUUUUAUUGGUUAAUCACAACCUUCAUAUGAUUCUUAAUAUACCCGAACGAUGUCGUAUUAGCAGCCCUUUGCAGAGCAACAUCCAACACCAUCAAAGUAUGAAUGAUGACCUCAAGUCAAAGGACCAAUUCCACUACCGAACGUUAGAGAUUAACCACUGACAUUCAGGUAGUUAUCCAUGUGGAAUUUCUUGGUGGGUCUCCAAUGUUUUGUUUUAUAACAAAAUAUCCACGUGUUUAUUUAAGUGUCACCGCACUUUAACUUGUGACAUCAGCUACUUACUUCACAAGUAAAAAAUGCCACACGUAAUGGUCUAUCCGUAAUAACGAUAUCUGUAUCUCGUUAUUACUUACGACCACGGACGAUUUAAGAUUUAAUCAUAUAUAAUUUGUAUCUCUCAAUCACAACUCCUUGUGAUUAACAAAUUACAAAAAUUUGAAUCUACAAACUCUAGUAUUUAUUUAAUUGUCUAUUAAUUAAAUAAUAUAUCUGCCAUUAAAUUGCAUUAAUUAUAUAUCAAAAGUAUUUAUGUCCAAAGUUGAUUGGACUUAGAGCAUAAUACUUACAAACUCCCACUUGCACUAGAUCCAAUCACUUAUGUAUUCAAUAUCAUAAGUAUACAUGACGAUCAUGUUUAUGCUACGACAACUUUUUGUCGGUGGAUCUGCAAUAUUGUUAAAUGUGGGAAUUUAUUCUUCUCUUUACGUCAUUUCUAUGUAUUGUCUCUCUAAUGAGAUUAUACUGCCCUAAUACAUGUUUGGAUCACUAAUAAGACCUUAGUUCUUUCGCUUUCGAGAUGGCUCUAUUGUUAUCACAAUACAAUGGUAUGUGAUCAACAAUAUCAGGAACUACUCCAAGUUCAUUUAUGAAUAUCUUGAUCCGUAUUGCAACUCUUUGCUAUUUCUGAAGUAAUCAUGUAUUAUGUUUCUACUAUUGAAUCAACGGUUGCUUCACGUUUGGAACCUUUCCAACAUUCCGCUUAAGAGUAAACCAAUUUCUCUAUAUGAAAUCUUCUCAAGAUUUCAUUUAUGUAAAUUGGGAUGAGUUAGGCAAUAUUUUAGAUCUAUCUCUAUAGAUCAAGUUGCUUCUCCCAUAUCGUUUAUGAAUAAAUCCUUUAACAACCAUUAUUUCAACGAUUGAAACACAGGGAUAUAAUUUUCUAUAAUAUUAGAAAUACGACAAUGCUCCCACUAUCUUCUUGUAAAUACACAAUUCGUCUUCAAAUUUGAUAAAAUCAAACACUUUGACUUUUUCAUCAAAUCGAAGAUUUCAGCUUCAAGAAACUUCUAUUAACCUAUAGUCACGGUAUGCAACUGUUGCAAGUAAAACCCGAAUAUGCUUCAACAAGGCUACAGGAGAAAGGUCUCACCAAGGUCAACACUUAACCUAUGUUUUGUAUAUAUUUCCAUCCAUAUCGACCUUUUCCUUGUAAACUAUUUACAAAAACUUACGAGUUUUAUUCCAUCAGGAGGCCUGACCAAGGUCCAAACCUUGUUCACAUACGUCGAGUUCAUCUCGAGUUUCAUGGCCUCUUGGUGUCUCUUUUAAUUCAACACUUGACUUUAUUUUGGUGCAACUAGCAGGUUCAUUAUCCUGAAUCAGUAAUACCUGAUUAGUAAUCAAGGAUUCGCACCUUCUUGAAGGUCAAAUGAUCCUACUAGAUUCACAUAGAGCUAACAUGUCCUCAGGAGUCUUUACUUCCUGAUCAAGAGUAUGUCCCAUAUUGGAUAUGGGAUCAAACUCGGAUUUAUCUACUUGAUUAACUAUAUCCGUAGACUCUUGACCUCUUUCAAGUUCUAUUUUACUCCCACUGUCCUCCCCUAGAGUAAAUAUUUUCUCUAAGAAGAGGAUAUGUCGUGAGAUGAAGACUUUCUUCAUGAUAAUAGAGUUUAUACUCAAAUGCCUGCUUUGAAUAUCCCCGCAAAUACGUAUUUAUCAAAUUUAGCGUCAAACUUAUCCGAUUCAAGGCGCUUCAAAUAAGCGUCAUGGCCCCAAGCUUUCAUAUAAGAUAAAUUGGGACUAUUGCCUUUCCAUAACUCGUAUGGAGUUCUGUUAACCAAUUUAGAUGAGACAUGAUUUAGUAUGUUGCACACUGCAAUCAAUGCAUGACCCCAAAAUAAUUUUGGGAGAUCUGUAUGGCUUGUUAUUAAUCAUAUUAUAUCUAAUAGUUAACAAUUCCUCCUUUUAGAUACACCACUGUGUUGCAGUGUAUAUGGAGGAAUCUACUGCAAGAGAAUCUCAUUCUCUCUUAGAUAAUCCAUAUUUUAUCUUUAAGAACUUCUCACUCGAUCGAAUCUUAAUAUGAGGGUAUCUUUACUAAUUUGUUUCUCUACUUCUAGUUUGAAUCCCUUGAACUUUUCAAGAGUUUCAUGUUCGAGUUUCAUCAAGUAUACAUGAUCAUUGAUGAAAUAAGAGAAACAUUACCCGACAUCAAUUGACAUGAAUCCAUAUGCAUUAGACCAGUAAUUAUGCUGACCUUUCUUCUUUUGAAGUAAAAGAAGAUUUGAUCAUUGUGCCAGCCAUGCAUAAUUUGUACUUGUCAAAAUCAAUUAAUCCCGAGUAUAAUCUUUAUGUAACAUUGGAAUUACAUUUCAUCUAUAUGACAAAAUCUGGCAUGCCAGAUUUUGGUAAUAAUUAGAUUAUCGCAUUUAUGCCUUAUAAUUUCUAUACUCAUUAUAGAAUCCUUAGUAUUAAAGAAUAUAAACGUCGUUUGUUAUUUACCAUAGUCAUUAGGAUCUUUAUCAAGAUAAACAAGAACAACAAUUGUCUUUAACAUUAAAAUAUUCAUAUACGAACAUGAAAUUCAUUUUAAUGUUCCAGCUAUGGUUGGUAUAAAGCGGCAUUUCUCUAAUUCCAAUACUAAACCAAAAGCAAUGGCUAGAAGUAUAUUCCUACAGGCAAUGCAGCAACCUUUGCUCAUCUCCAACGUGUAGGUCAACUUCUCCCUUUCGCAGUGGUCUACUUCUAUUUAGUUUCUCCAUAUUUGUAUAAAUAUGAGAUUUACAUCUGGUAUCAAAUACCUAAGAAACUCAUGAAGUAGACGUAAGCCACACUAUAUUCCUUCCAAUGACCUUUCAUUCUAUAAUGAAAUCAAGAGUCAAUAGAUUUCGUAUUGUCCUUCGCUUAGACUGUCUUAACCAAAUUGGGUGCUUUCCCAAAAUCCCUUUAGACUUCCUCUUAAUACCGUUAGAGGAAUCAAUGGCUUGCCCACUUCUAACUUUGUUAUUGGGCAUAACAGUCCUAAGCAUGUUAAGCAACUUAAUGAGUAUGCAUUCGAGCUUAUUCAUAUCAGAAUUCAUAAUUAGUAUUAAUAACUCUAUGACAUGGAUUCCAGAGCUAAGUUAAUACUUAGUUCAUAGCUAAUGAUUGAACUCAAUUGAGACACUUCUCAUGUCAAUCAUUUUCAGUACAUGAGGAUUGACUGAAGAUUUUUUUGUCACUUUGCAUCGGUAUAGUUGUUUAGAAGUCUCAUAUCCUUCCACACAUGAUCAGGGGCGGAGCUAGGGGGGUUUUGUAGGGGCAAUUGACCCUCUAGAUUUUGGGGAAAAAAAAUUUGCUUAGCUUUUUUUUAUUAGCUUUUUUUAUUAGAAGAUACCCUAUAAAUUUUAUUUUUGACUCCCUAACCCAAGUCGUCUGGUCCGUCCCUGCACAUGAUUAUUAUCAUACAACUCUUUGAAAUGAAAAAUCAUGUGUUAGCAUGUUAGUAUCUAUAUUUUCAUGUUGCUUCUAUAAUUAUGUGAAAUAGUUGCAAGUAUCACAUACGUUACAGUACUAUUGUCAUCGUUGCGUUUAUUACGGUAGUCACCUCUUCUUUAAUCCAGCAGGUGUCUCUGGAAAGGGCUACUCAAGGACGUGACCAAUUUUCUCAUGUAUGAGAACAACUCUCAAAUUGCGGUGUCAAUUAAGAAAAUCUUGUUUGGUUGUUGGCAUCUAGUAUGCCAUUCAAAACAUAUGGUUACUUAAGAUUCAAUGUAAAUGACGAAAAGAAAAUGAAUAAUAUAUAAAAUGCAUCAAUUAAUUUAACAUGGACUUUUAUUAAAUUAAUUAUGCUCCCACUAUUUAACUAAAAUUUAUGACCCUUUUACAUAAAUUUAUGGAGUCCAUACUUGACUCUCAGUUGGCUGGGAUUCCAUCUAUUAUAUUAAGACCUUGAGUGUACUCAACAAGCCUUAAUAUAACAUUUGGGUAGAUAGUAUUAUCAAUUAUAUUUCCAUACAACUCCCAGAUCAUUAAGCUGACAACUCUUUAUCUUCACACAUCUUAUGUAUUAGCUUAACAUGCCUCUAAAAUUUAUCUCCUUGAGUGUACUCAACAAAAAAUAAAUUUUAGUUAAGUCAAAUCCGUCAUUCAAAAAUAUCAAAUAUUUCAUAGUGUCAAAUAUAUCCUUAAUAGACUAGCCUUGAGUGUACUCAACAAGUUGAGACGAUUUGGGAUUUUGGUUUUUCACUAUAAUGAUGGAAAGCGAUUAUAAAUGUGACUUAAUAUUUUAUGGAGGGAUUUUGCACUCAAAUGUCUCAUUGUAACAAACAUAUAUAUUAUAUUAUACAUCUACCAUGCAAAUAAAGAUAUAUAACAUAAUAUAAUAGUGUGGACGAUUAUGGAUUUUACUAUCUAGUCUUCCCGAGCCAUAAGGAAGACUAGUUGGUCAAUUCCUAAGGGGUAUUACGUUGAUCAGUAUCAAUGCACCAUCUACAUGAUCUCCUCCUCUUCUUGUUUCUUCAAUUAGUCCAGUUGCAACAUGUAUCCUAUACUAGUUGGCACGCAGGCCUAAAUGAAAUUGGACUCGCAGACCCAUAACAACAAUAAUAAUAACAGACUUGUAGGUCCAAAAUGAUCAAAAGCUCACAGCCCACAAUAAUAAUGGGUUGCAGGCCCACAAAACAACAAAAAAAAAUCAACAAUUCAACAGAUCCAUAUGGUCGAGUCCAUAAUCAUCCACUAAUAAUGCAUUUAUCACAUAAAUGUAUUCUUAUAUAAUAUCUAAUAUUAUAUACAAACAUGUUUCAAGUUUCUAGCAAUUAAGGUCGUCUAAACUCUUUUAGACAAAUGGAUUGGAACAAUUAAACAAUUAAUUAAUCAUAUUAAUCAAUUAAUUUAAUUAGCUGGCAUAUUUAAUUAAAAUCAAAUUUUAAUUAAAUAUUAAAAUUAGAGUCCCACUCUAAUUCCACAAUUAUAGGACGGGCUAUUCAAUUAAAAUCACAUUUAGGUUAAAUAUCAAAUUAGAGCCCGACUCUAAUUUCAUAAUUUAAGGCGGUUGAAUUUAAUUAAAAUCAAAUUUCAAUUAAAUAACAAAAUUAGAGUCUAACUCUAAUUCCAAGAUUUUAGGGCAAAUUUAUUUAAUCAGAAUCAUAUUUUAAUUAAAUAUCAAAUUAGAGUCCAACUCUAAUUCCAAGAAGAAAUUUAGGGCGAGACAAUUUAAUUAAAAUCAAAUUUUAAUUAAAUGUGAAAUUAGAAUUCAAUUCUAAUUACAAGAAUAUAUUGGGUGAAUAAUUAAUUAAAAUCAAAUUUUUAUUAUGUAUUAAAUUAGAGUCCAACUCUAAUUUAAAUUGAAUUAAGAUUUUAAUUUAGGAUAAAACUCCUAAAUAAAAUAAAAUUCAAUUAGGGGUCAAAAUUUAUUAUUUAAGUUAAAAUCCAAUUUUAACGAAAAUGUAAAAAUCAUUAAUUUUAAAUAAAAUUUUAAAUUUGGGUCAAAAUUAAAAUUAUAGCUCAAACCUAUUCAAAAUAUCAUUUUAAAACAAUUUUAAAAUUAGGAUUCAAAACCAUUUUAGAAAUUGCAAUUUGACCCAAUUAAAAUUUAUUAACAGGGCCCUCAAAUAUUGAAAUUGCAUAAGAGCCCCUCUAUUUAAAAUUCACAUACUGACCCCCGAUUUUAAUUGCAAGUAGGGGGCUUGCAAUUUCACAAAUUGCACAAGAACCCUCCGCCUCCAACUCUUUUCACCCGACAACUGAAAAACACUAAAUUUUUUUUUCUUGUCUUCUUCUCCAGGCCCUGGCAUAUACCAAGCAAGACUCACCGCUGUCUAAAGGUGAUGGGCUCCUCCCACACCUAGCAGUGCGAAGGCGCUGCUGAAACAGCAUCUCCACGCUGCUUCAGCAGUGGCGUGAUGCUGCUGCCAGCAGCUGCCGCGCGCAGUGGUCACGAGCGGCUCGCCGUGUCCGCCACCGCCAUUUUUUUUGUUCCAAUCCAAAAUAAUCCAGUAUUCAAAAACAGAUUUUUUUCUCUCUUUUCUUUAAAUUAAUCCGAAAAUCAAAUUUUCCAAUUGCUAGAAACAAGAAAAAUAUGUACAAUCAACAUUUGAUUAUUCAAUCAUGCAAAUCAAUUCCUAACAAACACAAAGUAGACUCUAAUACCACUGUAGGGAAUCUACUUAACAUGCGCAGUGAAAAUUAAAAUAAUUUUCGAUUUCUGCCAGGAAUCUCUUUGUGUUUAGAUAGAAAUUAUGAAAAGAUUGUACUUUUCCAGAUCUGCAAACUUAUUUGUUAUUCUUUUUGUUCCAGCAAUCUUGAUUCGCCAUCUACAGCUGUCCAAUUGUCCAACCCUCAACGAUGAUCCACACAAAGAACAGAUAGCUACCAGGGUUUUCUCCUCUUGUGCUAGCAAGAAAUUAUAAGAAAAACCAUGUGAAUUGAAAACCCUAGCCAUGUAUUUAUAUAAGCCCAAAUGGGCAUGGCCUGGUCCAGUCCAAUAUUUAAUUAAAUUCAGUCCUUGAAUUAAUUAAUCCAAUUAAUUAAUUCGGGCCUAUAAAUAACCAACCCAAUUAAUUAAUUUAUCCAACGAUUGUUAAAUUAAUUAAUUGACAAAUUGCAAUCUUCCAAUUCUCUUUUGUGUGCGACACAUCAAGUUCCCGAUCACGAUGCCUAACGACGUGAAAUAUUAUUUUCAUCUAAUCAAAAUUGAUAAAUUAAAAUACCUUUUUAAUUUAUCAUGUGGUAUGACAAAAUCAAACUCGUUCAUUUAUCGUGAAAUUAUAAUCCUUUCGUCAAUAUGAUCCGAUCAAUUACAAGAUAUGAAAGUGUAUCAAUCCCAAAUAUCGAUCAUAUCUUUCACUCCACUAUUAGGUCAAUAUAAGUCGAAAACUCCUUUUCGACUUAUGAGUACACCUUGGCCAAUGAUUUCGUUAUCGACUUAAUUGAAUGAAACGCAGAUCAUAAUCUCCUACUAUCUAAGAGUGACGA
This 7420-nucleotide long non-coding RNA is filed under the name Olea europaea (common olive). Its description in RNAcentral is "long non-coding RNA (OEUR_LNC008356)". The record is from RNAcentral. Lineage: Eukaryota; Viridiplantae; Streptophyta; Magnoliopsida; Lamiales; Oleaceae.